Molecule: ribosomal RNA, 253 nt
Filed under: uncultured bacterium
Lineage: Bacteria
Description: partial 16S ribosomal RNA
Rfam family: Bacterial small subunit ribosomal RNA
Source: RNAcentral
UACGGGGGGGGCAAGCGUUGUUCGGAAUCACUGGGCGUAAAGCGCACGUAGGCGGAUCUUUAAGUCAGGGGUGAAAUCCCAGAGCUCAACUCUGGAACUGCCUUUGAUACUGGCGACCUAGAGUCCGGAAGAGGAGAGUGGAAUUCCCGGUGUAGCGGUGAAAUGCGCAGAUAUCGGGAAGAACACCCGUGGCGAAGGCGGCUCUCCGGGACGGUACUGACGCUGAGACGCGAAAGCGUGGGGAGCGAACAGG